This 23-nucleotide non-coding RNA is filed under the name Cricetulus griseus (Chinese hamster). Lineage: Eukaryota; Metazoa; Chordata; Mammalia; Rodentia; Cricetidae. The record is from RNAcentral.
UGAAUGGCUAAUGUGUAUGUGAA